Molecule: long non-coding RNA, 760 nt
Filed under: Hordeum vulgare
Lineage: Eukaryota; Viridiplantae; Streptophyta; Magnoliopsida; Poales; Poaceae
Description: long non-coding RNA (HVUL_LNC004772)
Source: RNAcentral
GCCACACGCAUGCACGAAACCAGAAGGCAUGACAGAUUUUACAUUGAACACACAUGCGCAGAAGUAGCCCAGCACAAGUAAGGACGACGCACAUGCAUGAUCCAAAAGCUAGUUAAUCCACUACUUCUGGAAGUAGUCCUCGGUCCUGCCCUUGAACCCGAUCUGGCCGAAGGUGAGCGCGAUGAACAGACCCAGGUGCCACGUCACCAACCACAGCCUGCAGUGUCAAUUACAUUUAACCUUCAGAAUCAAACCCCAAGUUGAAGCACAAGCAUAUAUGUACUGGUGGUUAGUGCGUGAACGUGUGACGAGUGGUUUGGGUUUAUCCUGACCAGAACUGCGACUGGAGAGCCGGGGGCGAGGGGAAGUGGGCGAGCUCCUCGCCGAUGCUGGAGAAGAAGAGCCCCGUCAAGCUGUUGCCGUUGAUCAGCGGGAUGCUCGACGGCGCCAGCCACCCGAUCAGCCCGAACCCGAUCACGUUCAGGUCCCUCCGCAGCCAGUCCCGUGGGAACCUGAUCGCCCAACAACGCAAAGCAAACAAUCCGUCAGUGACACAGAAAUUCACACGCCGAUGCAUGUAUGGACAGAGUCAUUUUUUUUACGUCAUGCAGGUGAUUCUGCCGUUCCUCUCCAGGUUCCUCGUCAUCAGCGGGUUCCUCGCCGACACCCGGCCGCCACUCGUGAAGCCUACGUACACAGACCCAGCAUUUCAGGACACACAACGUCAACGUCGAAUUGGUGACAGAAAAAAGCUAGGCGC